RNAcentral lists this RNase P RNA (582 nucleotides) under Pseudothauera lacus. RNAcentral's name for it is "Bacterial RNase P class A". It matches the Rfam family "Bacterial RNase P class A". From Rfam's summary of the family: Ribonuclease P (RNase P) is a ubiquitous endoribonuclease, found in archaea, bacteria and eukarya as well as chloroplasts and mitochondria. Its best characterised activity is the generation of mature 5'-ends of tRNAs by cleaving the 5'-leader elements of precursor-tRNAs. The record is from Rfam by way of RNAcentral. Lineage: Bacteria; Pseudomonadati; Pseudomonadota; Betaproteobacteria; Rhodocyclales; Zoogloeaceae.
GAAGUUCGCCAGGCAGUCGCUGCACUCCAUCAGGGGUGUGGAGGAAAGUCCGGGCCCCGCAGAGCAGGAUGCCGGCUAACGGCCGGGCGCCGUGAGGCGACGGAAAGUGCAACAGAGAGCAGACCGCCGAUGGCUGUCCGGGCUUCGCCGCCGCAGGCGGCAAAAUCCCCUUCCUAGAAGGGGGUGAUGCCGCAGGCGGCAAAGUCCCCUUCCUGAAGAGGAGGGCUUCGCACUUCGGUGCGCAGGGAGGCUGCCGUGCAAACGGCAGUGGCUGGUGCGGCGCAUGCCGCGCCAGACGGAUCAGGCAAGGGUGAAACGGUGCGCUGGUGUGCGCAGGCACGCCAGUGGUCGGGGCGCAAGCCCCGUCGGGUAAGAGCCCACCGCGGGACUGGUAACAGGACCGGCACGGCAAACCCCAUCCGGGGCAAGGCCAAAUAGGGGAGCAAUGGCGUGGCUCGCGCUGCUCCCGGGUAGGCUGCUAGAGCGCAGUGGCAACGCUGCGCCCAGAGGAAUGACUGCCCGGCGUGAAGGGUUUCGGCCUUGCGCGCUCGACAGAACCCGGCUUAUCGGCGAACUUCCCCA